GUUCUCCUCGCUUUGGCAGCACAUAUACCAAAAUUGGAACAAUACAGAGUAGUGUGGUCCGGCACAAGAAUGACACACACAUUUGUGAAGCAUCCCAUAUUUUU
This is a small nuclear RNA of Nycticebus coucang (slow loris), 104 nucleotides long. The record is from RefSeq and is a predicted model, not a curated record. NCBI's taxonomy places the organism in Eukaryota, Metazoa, Chordata, Mammalia, Primates, Lorisidae.